AGUUUGAUCCUGGCUCAGGACGAACGCUGGCGGCGUGCUUAACACAUGCAAGUCGAACGAUGAAGCCCUUCGGGGUGGAUUAGUGGCGAACGGGUGAGUAACACGUGGGCAAUCUGCCCUUCACUCUGGGACAAGCCCUGGAAACGGGGUCUAAUACCGGAUAACACCUUCCCUCGCAUGGGGGAAGGUUGAAAGCUCCGGCGGUGAAGGAUGAGCCCGCGGCCUAUCAGCUUGUUGGUGAGGUAGAAGCUCACCAAGGCGACGACGGGUAGCCGGCCUGAGAGGGCGACCGGCCACACUGGGACUGAGACACGGCCCAGACUCCUACGGGAGGCAGCAGUGGGGAAUAUUGCACAAUGGGCGAAAGCCUGAUGCAGCGACGCCGCGUGAGGGAUGACGGCCUUCGGGUUGUAAACCUCUUUCAGCAGGGAAGAAGCGAAAGUGACGGUACCUGCAGAAGAAGCGCCGGCUAACUACGUGCCAGCAGCCGCGGUAAUACGUAGGGCGCAAGCGUUGUCCGGAAUUAUUGGGCGUAAAGAGCUCGUAGGCGGCUUGUCACGUCGAUUGUGAAAGCUCGGGGCUUAACCCCGAGUCUGCAGUCGAUACGGGCUAGCUAGAGUGUGGUAGGGGAGAUCGGAAUUCCUGGUGUAGCGGUGAAAUGCGCAGAUAUCAGGAGGAACACCGGUGGCGAAGGCGGAUCUCUGGGCCAUUACUGACGCUGAGGAGCGAAAGCGUGGGGAGCGAACAGGAUUAGAUACCCUGGUAGUCCACGCCGUAAACGGUGGGAACUAGGUGUUGGCGACAUUCCACGUCGUCGGUGCCGCAGCUAACGCAUAAGUGCCC
This 843-nucleotide ribosomal RNA is filed under the name Streptomyces atriruber. RNAcentral describes it as "bacterial SSU rRNA". It matches the Rfam family "Bacterial small subunit ribosomal RNA", at positions 10 to 869 of the family's 1533-position model. Lineage: Bacteria; Bacillati; Actinomycetota; Actinomycetes; Kitasatosporales; Streptomycetaceae. The record is from RNAcentral.